AAUAGAUGAUGCUGUUAACUUUUUCUCACAUGUUUGACCAUUCGUCUUACCAAAAAAAUUAUGUAAUUAUAAUUUAUUUUGUUAUGAGUUGUUUUUAUCACUCAUAGUACUUUAAGUGUGACUUAUAUCUUUUACAUUUGCAUACAAAUUUUGAAUAAGACGAAUGGUCAAACAUGUGAGAAAAAGUCAACGUCGUCAUCUAUU
RNAcentral lists this microRNA precursor (204 nucleotides) under Oryza barthii. Its description in RNAcentral is "MIR812 microRNA precursor family". It matches the Rfam family "MIR812 microRNA precursor family". Lineage: Eukaryota; Viridiplantae; Streptophyta; Magnoliopsida; Poales; Poaceae. The record is from Rfam by way of RNAcentral.